Molecule: ribosomal RNA, 253 nt
Filed under: uncultured bacterium
Lineage: Bacteria
Description: partial 16S ribosomal RNA
Rfam family: Bacterial small subunit ribosomal RNA
Source: RNAcentral
UACGUAGGGCGCAAGCGUUAAUCGGAAUUACUGGGCGUAAAGCGUGCGCAGGCGGUUCUAUAAGACAGAUGUGAAAUCCCCGGGCUCAACCUGGGAACUGCAUUUGUGACUGUAGAGCUGGAGUACGGCAGAGGGGGAUGGAAUUCCGCGUGUAGCAGUGAAAUGCGUAGAUAUGCGGAGGAACACCGAUGGCGAAGGCAACCCCCUGGGCCUGUACUGACGCUCAUGCACGAAAGCGUGGGGAGCAAACAGG